UACGUAGGGUGCGAGCGUUGUCCGGAAUUAUUGGGCGUAAAGCGCGCGCAGGCGGUCCUUUAAGUCUGAUGUGAAAGCCCACGGCUCAACCGUGGAAGGUCAUUGGAAACUGGGGGACUUGAGUACAGAAGAGGAAAGCGGAAUUCCACGUGUAGCGGUGAAAUGCGUAGAGAUGUGGAGGAACACCAGUGGCGAAGGCGGCUUUCUGGUCUGUAACUGACGCUGAGGCGCGAAAGCGUGGGGAGCAAACAGG
Molecule: ribosomal RNA, 253 nt
Filed under: uncultured bacterium
Lineage: Bacteria
Description: partial 16S ribosomal RNA
Rfam family: Bacterial small subunit ribosomal RNA
Source: RNAcentral